Molecule: ribosomal RNA, 969 nt
Filed under: Staphylococcus aureus
Lineage: Bacteria; Bacillati; Bacillota; Bacilli; Caryophanales; Staphylococcaceae
Description: partial 23S ribosomal RNA
Rfam family: Bacterial large subunit ribosomal RNA
Source: RNAcentral
CCCAAACCAACAAGCUUGCUUGUUGGGGUUGUAGGACACUCUAUACGGAGUUACAAAGGACGACAUUAGACGAAUCAUCUGGAAAGAUGAAUCAAAGAAGGUAAUAAUCCUGUAGUCGAAAAUGUUGUCUCUCUUGAGUGGAUCCUGAGUACGACGGAGCACGUGAAAUUCCGUCGGAAUCUGGGAGGACCAUCUCCUAAGGCUAAAUACUCUCUAGUGACCGAUAGUGAACCAGUACCGUGAGGGAAAGGUGAAAAGCACCCCGGAAGGGGAGUGAAAUAGAACCUGAAACCGUGUGCUUACAAGUAGUCAGAGCCCGUUAAUGGGUGAUGGCGUGCCUUUUGUAGAAUGAACCGGCGAGUUACGAUUUGAUGCAAGGUUAAGCAGUAAAUGUGGAGCCGUAGCGAAAGCGAGUCUGAAUAGGGCGUUUAGUAUUUGGUCGUAGACCCGAAACCAGGUGAUCUACCCUUGGUCAGGUUGAAGUUCAGGUAACACUGAAUGGAGGACCGAACCGACUUACGUUGAAAAGUGAGCGGAUGAACUGAGGGUAGCGGAGAAAUUCCAAUCGAACCUGGAGAUAGCUGGUUCUCUCCGAAAUAGCUUUAGGGCUAGCCUCAAGUGAUGAUUAUUGGAGGUAGAGCACUGUUUGGACGAGGGGCCCCUCUCGGGUUACCGAAUUCAGACAAACUCCGAAUGCCAAUUAAUUUAACUUGGGAGUCAGAACAUGGGUGAUAAGGUCCGUGUUCGAAAGGGAAACAGCCCAGACCACCAGCUAAGGUCCCAAAAUAUAUGUUAAGUGGAAAAGGAUGUGGCGUUGCCCAGACAACUAGGAUGUUGGCUUAGAAGCAGCCAUCAUUUAAAGAGUGCGUAAUAGCUCACUAGUCGAGUGACACUGCGCCGAAAAUGUACCGGGGCUAAACAUAUUACCGAAGCUGUGGAUUGUCCUUUGGACAAUGGUAGGAGAGCGUU